RNAcentral lists this non-coding RNA (29 nucleotides) under Mus musculus (house mouse). The record is from RNAcentral. Lineage: Eukaryota; Metazoa; Chordata; Mammalia; Rodentia; Muridae.
UUCCACUUCUGAGUGUUGACACUUGCUAA